RNAcentral lists this long non-coding RNA (1120 nucleotides) under Ornithorhynchus anatinus (platypus). RNAcentral describes it as "lncRNA (ENSOANG00000032817.2)". Lineage: Eukaryota; Metazoa; Chordata; Mammalia; Monotremata; Ornithorhynchidae. The record is from RNAcentral.
AGGCCAUGUUUACCAACUCCAUUGUAUUGUAGUCUCUCAAACAUUUCGUGCAGUGCUCUGCACACAGGAAGUGCUCAGUAUAUACCAUUGAUUGAUUGAUGGGAGUGCUUAAGGUAGUCUAUCAUGCUAUUGAUGCCUGUCUACUUGUUUUGUUGUGUGUCUCCCCGUUUUGGACUGUGAGUCUGUUAUUGGGUAGGGACUGUCUCUGUUGCCAAAUUAUACCUCCCAACCACUUAGUACAGUGCUGUGCACACAGUAAGUGCUCAAUAAAUAUGAUUGAAUAAAUGGGUCCAGAAGAUCAAAACAGCUGUAAGGAGCUGGCAGUGGUAAAGUAGAAAUAGAAAGAACAGGUGUGAAACCUUCUAGCCACAAGACUAUUUAAAUUUGACCCCCACUAGGUAUUACUUGGAAGAAGAAGAUCCUGAUCAGAAGAUUCUAGAGGAAAGAAGAAUUGCAGAAAAGGAAAAAAGAAAGAGAAGAGAUUUCGCAUUAUGAGGAUCCUUGCCACAGAGGCGGGCAACAGGAUUAGGGAGGAAGAAGAAAAAAACGAACAGAUGUUUCUAAUGUAUGAGGAUAAAGAGUAUUUUAAACUAGCCUUGGAUAAUAACCUUCAGGCCCAGAAAAGGGUGAUGAAGGAAGAAGAGGAGAAGCUAAGGAAGCAAUAUAGUUGGCAGCAGUCUCAGCCAGUGGCAUUAACCCAAGCACCAGAACUGGGUGAUCUUCCCAGAUGUGUACAGAAUUUCCAUGGCUGCUGGAAGAUCUGCACUCGUGGAGAGCCGUUGGAUACAUUUCUAAAGCUCCAGGCCCAGAUAAGAGAGGAAGAGUCAUUCAAGGAGCUUCCCCCGAUGUCUGGGAGGAGGGGAAAGGCUGUUUCUGAUAUUAGAUCCAUACAGACCUCAGCUCUUAAUCCAUUUCUGGGAUUCUGAGCCCCAAGCAUUGUCUCAAGUAAAUAAGGAUGUUUCCCGGCUUUUCUGGAGGAGACAGUCAACAGUACAGCAAGAUUCAGAGAAAGAGUGGAUGGGAAGUUCUGUAGAGACUUAAUUGUUAUUCAAAACUCUGUCUACUAGUGAUUUUUAAAUAUGAGUCAUUUGCUGCAAUUAAAACAUUAACUAUUCAUUAU